CUUUUGUUGCGAAAAGGGCUUGGAGAAUUGAGCAAGUCCCUGUACUAGGCUGUUUUAUUAAAACAUCUCUUUUAUACACUUGCCUAUAUCAUGAUAAUACAAUAAUUUCGAUUGUAAAUAGGCAGCUAUUUUGAGAGUUAUUAAAGUGUUAUAUAUAAGUAUAGAGUUCGCCAGAUAAGCCCGUUCUCUAAGGUGGAAACACUGUAUUAAGACAGCAUACACCAAAACUCAAUGAACUAAAAGAUUUUAUUAAUUGAAGGAAAAGAAACCAACCGGGAUUGCGCUAGUAGUACAGAGCGAAAGUGCAUAAGCUUGAUUAAAUAUUUUUUGUUUACAGUUGAACUUAAGUGGAAUCCGGACCAGAGAAAGUUAUAGUCUUGUAGAUUGUAAAUAAAAAAGUGCUGUAAUUGUUUAUAAGCACGCAACCAUUUAUUUUUUGAAUCCAGUAAAGUAAUAAAUGGGGAAGAUCAAUCAAAUUAGUGGUUUAACCCUGCUAGUGAUUAACGGAAACCACUCCGUUGGCUAAAUAUUCUAUGUAGAUCGAUAGUGAAUCAGUACUGUAAAGGAAUUUGGAAACAAGAAUGCCGUUGCUUCUCUGAAUACAAGUCCCAAAACAGGUUGCUUAUAAUGACUUUCAGUUUGGCAGUUAUAAUGUUGAAUAGAAAGGUUCCUUUUGAAUCAUGAGCUGAUGACUUUGUGUUAGUUUAAGGCAUGCAUUCAUUUUGUAAUAUCAUUGGUCUUUUUUUUUUUCAAAUAAAAAGCAGGUAUAAUUAAUGCGAGUAGCUUAAUUUAUUAAAAGUAAGCUUAUUAUGAAAGUAUUCAUAAAAAACUAACACAAAACGCGAAACGAAGUGAGCUUAAGUAGGCCAGGGGGAAGGUUACCGGAAGGUAGUUGGACGCCCGAAGUGGUAUGCGUUGCAACGCAUUCAUAUGAGUUUAUUUAAGUGGCGAAAUACCAAUCGAACUUCGAAAUAUCUCGUUUUUUGCGAAACCUUUUUAGGAAGGGGGCCUGCAAAAUAAAUGCUAACUAGGUAGAGCGCUGUAAAACUGAUGGGAAGGAAACUUUUACUGAGGUGUUGCAAACCACGAAUUAGGGGCAUUUUAUCAGGUACUCAGUCAGUGCGGGACAAGCUGCAUUUGACAAGAAGGAAACAGCCUAGACUAUGAAUUAAGGCCCGAAAAUAGCGCUAAGUGAGAAAGUAAUUAACUUCACAAAAAUUAGUAGGACGUUUGAUUAGUAGCAUCUACCGUUUCAAGAAAGCGUAAUAGCUCACUACUAUAGUUUAGUUGUUGCGAAAAUUUAGCCGGACUAAGCGCUAUGCCGAAAUUAUAGCUAACUGGAUCUUAAUAAAAGUCAGUUAGAGUAGCAAAACGAACCAUGUUGACAAAGUUACGUCGGUAAGACUUAAUGAAAAUAUUGGUUGUGAAUAUAUCAGCUAGAGUAACAUAUAAAUUGAGACUUUAAAUAAAUAAUUGUUUUAUAUUAAUCUUGUUUUAUUGUAUUUGUAUAAAGUUUAUUUAUUAAAAAAAUAGUAUCUCAAUGAUCGGAAAUCCUGGGUUUUCUACACAACUGUUAAAGAUGUAGUUAAAAAUACGGUCCCUAAGUAAUGUAAAGGUUACGAUGGGUACCUGCUAUGCCCAAUAAAAUCUAAUUUGUAGAUCUGUUGCAGGAAAAAAUAGCAGGAAUUUACACAAAAAUCGAUUUUUUUUGUACAAAAUAAUACCGUACUAAAACUGACUCUGGUGGAUUAGUAGAUUUUACUAAGAUUUGGUUAUAAUCGUUCGUAAGGAACUCGGCAAAUUGCGCUGGUACUUUCGAAAACAGCGGUCUAAAAGCAAUCUUUUAGAUCUCAGAUAAGAGAACUGGGUGACAGUUUACUAAAAACUUAGCGUCCUGCCAAUUUGAAACAAGACGUAUAGGAUGUGACGUUUGCUAACGGCCACUAAUUUAAGUAAUCUGUUGUAAAAGGUAGAUAAACAAGAUGUGGUGACGAGCGGCCGUAACUAUAACGGUCAUAAAGUAGCGAAAUUCCUAGGCAUUUAAUUGGUGUCCUGCAUGAAUAACGUAACAACCUGGUUGCUGUCUCGCGAGCGAAAACCGUGAAAUAAGAAUAUCGGUUAAAAUACCGAUUAGGCUGUCUUAGACGAUAAGACCCUGUGAAGCUUUACUGUAACCUAACAUUGCGAUCGGUUUUUUACCUUACAGCUAGGCGGGAGGCAAUGCCAACAAUGGAAAACCGCUAGAUAAUAAAUUGGUCGCUUUUAUAUAAGAGUACUUUUUAAUCUAUAAGAUAUUUAUAUAAGACACGUAAUAUAAGAAAUUUUAUGUGAAUAGAAUAAGCUUUAUGUUAACCCUUGUAUAAAACACUUUAAUUAACAAAGCUCGAAGACAGUGUUAGGUGGGCAGUUUACUUGGGGCGAGGUCUGGCUAAAAAGUAACGCCAGAGAGCAAAAGGUAUGCUCAGUAUUGUCGGAAACGAUAUGUAGAGCGUAAUAGUAUAAGCAUGCCUGAUUAUAAGACUGACAAGUCAAAUAAGGACGAAAGUCUGCUAUAGUGACCCUCACAUGCUAGGUGGAAAGGUGUGAGAUCAACGAAUCAAAGUUACUCCAGGGAUAACAGGGUAGUCCUGGCUUAUAGUUCUUAUAGACGCCAGGGUUCGCCACCUCGAUGUUGCCUCAGGUCAUCCUAGAGCUGCACAAGGUUCUAAGGGCGCAACUGUUCUUUGCAUAAUGACCUACGUGAGGUGAGUUUAAACCGCCGUAAGGCAGGUUUGGUUCUAUCUAGACAGCCAUAAUAUUUAACCAAGCACUAGAAUUCCACUGUACGAAAGGACCCGGAAUUCCGCGCCAAUGGUUUAGCAAUUGUUUUGAAAAAAGCAUGGUUGCAACGCUAAGCGUGAAAUGUUAAUUGCUGAAAAACUAUCAAGCAAGAAACAAUUGUAAAGGUUAUAGUACAUCGCAUUUGCGUAAAUAGGCAGGGGGUGUAAGUGUUGUAAGACAUUAAGCUACCCUGUACUAAUUUUUU
RNAcentral lists this ribosomal RNA (3025 nucleotides) under Ulva prolifera. RNAcentral's name for it is "23S ribosomal RNA". It matches the Rfam family "Bacterial large subunit ribosomal RNA". Lineage: Eukaryota; Viridiplantae; Chlorophyta; Ulvophyceae; Ulvales; Ulvaceae. The record is from RNAcentral.